Molecule: long non-coding RNA, 346 nt
Filed under: Mytilus galloprovincialis (Mediterranean mussel)
Lineage: Eukaryota; Metazoa; Mollusca; Bivalvia; Mytilida; Mytilidae
Source: RNAcentral
UGGGUGGUUGCUUACCGUCCAGUGGCAAAUAUUUCAUGCAUAUUCAGGACAAGAACAAGUUAACAAUAAAUACAAUAGGUAGGUGGAUAUAGUAGAGGCCAUCUGAGAUGAUGGUCGGGGAAAUUUUAACUGCCACUGGAAAAUGAGGGUAUAUUGGAUAGGAACAGAAAUUUUGCCUUGCAACAGGACACCUACGGCCCCCUCAAUGAGUUGUUGCAAGGGUUCUUAACGUGCAAUGAGCGUGGCACUCUCUUUACACGAGGCAUCGGAUUUAACGUCCCCCUUCUGACCGGACGUGACUGCGAACUUGAUACAUCCCGCACAGCCAAACGGACGCCCCACUUCG